AGGUCGACCCGCUGAAUUUAAGCAUAUCAGUAAGCGGAGGAAAAGAAACUAACUAGGAUUUCCUUAGUAACGGCGAGUGAACAGGAAAAAGCUCAUAACCGAAUCCUGCAGUAUUUUAUUGCUAGGAAAUGUGGUGUAAGGGUGAUGCUGUAGUUAGAUAAUUUAACUCUAAGUUCACAUGAUUGUGGCUUCAUAGCCCAUGGAGGGUGUAAGGCCCGUAAGAGUAAAAUUGUCUUUCUUUUGUAUUAUCCCAUGAGUCGGGUUGUUUGAGAUUGCAGCCCUAAGUGGUGGUAAACUCCAUCAAAAGCUAAAUACAAUGUGAGUCCGAUAGUGAACAAGUACCAUGAGGUAAAGUUGAAAAGAACUUUGAAGAGAGAGUUCAAUAGUGCGUGAAACCUUUCAGAGGUAAGCGAAUAGAGCUGAAAUUAGUGUGGAGAUUGAUGUCUAUUUGUGCCCGAUUGCUAUGUGGUAGAUCAUUAAACGACUGCUUGUAGUAAUUGUAGGUGUGAAUUGAUUGUUUUUCCCAUGCUUAUACCAUGAUUAAGAAUGGCUUUGACUAUUAUUAUUGUGCAGGUAGCUAGUAUAGAAUUUAUUUUAUAUUAGUGUUAUAGCUGGUAAUAUGGUACUUAUGCUGCUCUUAUCUACUAAAUGUGUUUUGGUAUGGCCUGUUAUUUUAUGUUUUACUUGACAUUAAUUCAUUAAAAGAGUUAUGAUGAGUAAUGACGUUUAAUUGAUGGGCUCUCUGCAGAAUGCAUAAAGUCAUGGUUAUUAGUAGGUGUUCUAUUCGGCCCGUCUUGAAACACGGACCAAGGAGUCUAACUUGUACGCGAGUCAUUGGGUUCUACGAAACCUAAAGGCGAAUUGAAAGAAAAGGCUAGCUUGUUCUGGCUGAGCUAUGAUCCACGUCUCCAUGGAGAUGCGGCGCAAUAGUGAUUUGUCUCAUGCUUUUUAAGCGGGGCAAAAUAAGAGCGUACAAGAUGGUACCCGAAAGAUGGUGAACUAUGCUUGCAUAGGUCGAAGCCAGGGGAAACUCUGGUGGAGGACCGUAGCGCUUCUGACGUGCAAAUCGAUCGUCAAAUGUGAGUAUAGGGGCGAAAGACUAAUCGAACCAUCUAGUAGCUGGUUCCCUGCGAAGUUUCCCUCAGGAUAGCUGGCACUUUAAAUAGUUUUAUCCGGUAAAGCGAAUGAUUAGAAGUAUUGGGGAUGAAAUUUCCUCAACUUAUUCUCAAACUUUAAAUGGGUAAGAAGCUUAAGUCACUUAAAUGGACUAAAGCAUAGAAUAUGAGUGCCUAGUGGGCCAUUUUUGGUAAGCAGAACUGGCGAUGUGGGAUGAACCAAAAGCGGUGGUUAAGGUGCCUAAAUGUACGCUCAUGACACACCACAAAAGGUGUUGGUUGAUAUAGACAGCAGGACGGUGGCCAUGGAAGUUGGAAUCCGCUAAGGAGUGUGUAACAACUCACCUGCCGAAUCAACCAGCCCUGAAAAUGGAUGGCGGUGGAGCGUUCUACCUAUACCGCGCCGUUAUUGUGAAUUGUUGAAUGAAAGCAAUAACGUGUAGCAGGGCGAAGUGGAAAGCUUAGAAGGUUAAACUGUAAAGUUGACUGGAGCUUCCAUUUGUGCAGAUCUUGGUGGUAGUAGCAAGUAUUCAAGUGAGAAACUUGAAGGCCGAUUGUGGAGAAGGGUUCC
RNAcentral lists this ribosomal RNA (1686 nucleotides) under Microvahine corallicola. Its description in RNAcentral is "eukaryotic LSU rRNA". It matches the Rfam family "Eukaryotic large subunit ribosomal RNA", at positions 17 to 1510 of the family's 3401-position model. Lineage: Eukaryota; Metazoa; Platyhelminthes; Rhabdocoela; Promesostomidae. The record is from RNAcentral.